AUUUACAUAGAUUAUAAUUUAGAUCGUAACACUGAAGAUGUUAAGGAGGUUAAUAUAACCUGUGAAUG
This 68-nucleotide transfer RNA is filed under the name Gonodactylaceus randalli. RNAcentral's name for it is "tRNA-Phe". The record is from RNAcentral. Lineage: Eukaryota; Metazoa; Arthropoda; Malacostraca; Stomatopoda; Gonodactylidae.